UUUCUUUUCACCAGGUUCCAUCUUCUGAAAGUUCUACCAUCUCCCAGCAGUGCCAUCAUAUGGGGACACAUGAGCCUUUGGGAGACAUUUACUUCAAGCCACAACAGUUUUCCCAGUAAACAUUGUGAGAAAGUCAAAACAUAUUUUGGAUGAGUGAAGAGAGAAAGAGACUUAGCUGGAAGAGCAAAGAGGAAGCGAGUUCAUUCCUAAGGACCUCAGUGCAAGAGGCUCAGCAUAAAUCAUCACAGAGGGUACAGAAUGAUGGCCCCCACCUUUUGAAAUCCACCAUCUUCAGAGAAGGGAGAGGUCUACAUUCAUGAAGUAUCAAGAGGAGAACUUGGCACUAAGACUUCUCUAGCUCCCAACAGUGGGAAUGGAUAAACUUU
Molecule: long non-coding RNA, 386 nt
Organism: Cavia porcellus (domestic guinea pig)
Lineage: Eukaryota; Metazoa; Chordata; Mammalia; Rodentia; Caviidae
Exons: 3
Source: RefSeq, a predicted model, not a curated record